CCGGUCCCACAUGAAGCUUCCCAUUCUUCUUCGCUAGCUACCGCCAUUGAUGAGGUUUUUAAACUACAUCCUUGAAAGAAAAAUUACUGCUUAUUUUUUGGGUUUAACUAAAAAAGCUGCUAUUAUCUAAAGGCUAGUGUGCUAGGAUAAGGUCCGAUAGCAAGGUGUGCGGUGGAUGAUAGCCGAGAUGGUACACAGGUUAACUAUAAGCUUCUGUACUAAAAC
RNAcentral lists this long non-coding RNA (225 nucleotides) under Hordeum vulgare. RNAcentral describes it as "long non-coding RNA (HVUL_LNC002978)". The record is from RNAcentral. Lineage: Eukaryota; Viridiplantae; Streptophyta; Magnoliopsida; Poales; Poaceae.